Molecule: long non-coding RNA, 347 nt
Filed under: Parus major (Great Tit)
Lineage: Eukaryota; Metazoa; Chordata; Aves; Passeriformes; Paridae
Description: lncRNA (ENSPMJG00000016614.1)
Source: RNAcentral
AUGGGACCCUCCAGAAGAAACCUGCCCAGCAAUCCUUCCCGCCAGAAGGAUGCCAGGAGAAACUGCCUCUACCUGCAAGAAAGGCGCACGAUGGCACUUGGAGAUAGAAGUCCACCGACGGCACCGGAGGCUGAACAAGAGUUGAUGUGUGCUUCGCCUUCCGGGCCCUUAGCUUCCUUUGUAAGUGUAAAACACCUUCCCAGCAACACAGUGGCCCCUGGGGUUUCCUCAUAGAUGGAAUGUAAGGAGGUAAUCUGAAUAUCGAAAUCAGGAAUCGAUAUAUUAAAAGAAAAAAGCCUACCAAACCAAACCAAACAAAACAGAGGGAUCGGCAUCCAAAUAUCAGA